Non-coding RNA from Acanthosepion pharaonis, 112 nucleotides. The record is from the annotation of a GenBank genome assembly. Lineage: Eukaryota; Metazoa; Mollusca; Cephalopoda; Sepiida; Sepiidae.
ACAGCUAUAUCACUUUGAAAUACUGAUUCUUGUAUGACCAGCAAAGUUAAGCAACAUUGAGCCUGGUCAGUACCUAGAUGGUUGACUGCUUGGGAAUACCAGGUGUUGUAAG